Molecule: ribosomal RNA, 254 nt
Filed under: uncultured bacterium
Lineage: Bacteria
Description: partial 16S ribosomal RNA
Rfam family: Bacterial small subunit ribosomal RNA
Source: RNAcentral
UACGUAGGGUGCGAGCGUUGUCCGGAAUUAUUGGGCGUAAAGAGCUUGUAGGCGGUCUGUCGCGUCUGCUGUGAAAAUCCGGGGCUCAACCCCGGACCUGCAGUGGGUACGGGCAGACUAGAGUGUGGUAGGGGAGACUGGAAUUCCUGGUGUAGCGGUGAAAUGCGCAGAUAUCAGGAGGAACACCGAUGGCGAAGGCAGGUCUCUGGGCCAUAACUGACGCUGAGAAGCGAAAGCAUGGGGGAGCGAACAGG